Zea mays is the source of this 1359-nucleotide long non-coding RNA. RefSeq lists it as uncharacterized. The transcript has 3 exons. The record is from RefSeq and is a predicted model, not a curated record. NCBI's taxonomy places the organism in Eukaryota, Viridiplantae, Streptophyta, Magnoliopsida, Poales, Poaceae.
AUAUGAAACUCAUUUGUUGAUCUCUAGAUUUAUCCUCAAGAACUCGAUAAAGAAAUAUGGCAUUUAGGGGUAUCUUGAGUUCUCUCGUUGUCACGUACUAUUAUGUCUGGCUGCUCAUGGGAUUAGCAUAUAGAAGAAAAUGUUUGAGAAUAGAAAGAAGGUUAAGAAAUAGGGAGCGUAGGAUGGAGAAUUUAAAUGAACUCAUUCAUGAGACUGAUAGAAAAUGUAUUAGUGAGCUUCGUAUGGAUAGAAGAACUUUCUUUAUUUUGUGUGAGAUGCUUAGAGAUGUUGGUGGGCUAAAGGCCACACGCAAUAUGACCAUAGAGGAGAUAGUGGCUCAUUUUUUGUAAACAUUGGCUCAUCAUUUGAAGAACCGAACAAUUGGAAGGUUUUUCUUUCGAAGCGGCGAGACAGUUAGUAGACAGUUCAACUUAUGCCUUCUAGCUGUUCUAAAGUUGCAACAUUUGCUUCUUAAGACCCCUGAGCCAAUUCCAGAGAAUAGCACUGAUAAUACCUGGAAAAACUUUAAGAAUUGUUUGGGUGCAUUAGACGGAACCGCUAUCAAGGUAACUGUGCCAACACAUCUAAAAGGAAGAUAUAGGUCAAGGAAAGCGGACAUUGUGACAAAUGUAUUGGGUGUUUGUGCACCCGAUAUGCAAUUCAUCUAUAUGCUACCUGGUUGGGUGGGUUCAGCGCAUGAUGGUCGUGUGCUGCGUGAUGCUAUCUCGAGGCCAAAUGGAUUGCGUGUCCCUCAAGGCGAGUUUUAUUUCAAUAACUUCCAUUUGGUUUGGUGGUAUAGUGUUUUAAGUGUGUAUAUUAACUUGAAAAUAUCCUUUUUAGGUUGUUAUUAUCUUGUUGAUGCGGGUUAUACAAACACCAAUGGAUUUCUAGCACCUUAUCGAGGUCAACGAUACCAUUUGGGUGGUUGGACAGCGCAGAAUCCACCACAUAGUGCUGAGGAGUAUUUCAAUAUGUGUCAUGCUCGAGCAAGAAAUAUUAUAGAGAGGGCUUUUGGAAGGCUUAAAGGGCGAUGGGUGAUUCUUAGAUCCCCUUCAUAUUUUCCUACAAAGACGCAAUGUCGUAUAAUAAUGGCAUGUGCCCUUUUGCACAAUCUAAUUUUGCAAAAAAAUGUCUAGAGACCCUAUGGAAAGUGAGGAACAAUCGGUGGUAGAUUCUGAAAUGCCUAAGGGAGAAGUUGGUGAACCAGAAUUUAUUAUGGGUAUCUCCACAACAAAUGCGUGGAGUACUUUUCGUGACACUCUUGCGCAGGGGAUGUAUAAUGCUUAUAGGGCUUCUCAUUGAUUAUUUCAUGAAUGGACAUUUUGGAGGGCUCUAUUGCUGUUCGUGGUAGGGGGAAAA